This 505-nucleotide ribosomal RNA is filed under the name uncultured bacterium. Its description in RNAcentral is "bacterial SSU rRNA". It matches the Rfam family "Bacterial small subunit ribosomal RNA", at positions 28 to 527 of the family's 1533-position model. The record is from RNAcentral.
GACGAACGCUGGCGGCGUGGAUUAGGCAUGCAAGUCGAACGGUAUCAUCCUUUCGGGGGUGAGAGAGUGGCGAACUGGUGAGUAACACGUAGGUUAUCUACCCUCAAGACGGGGACAACCCAGGGAAACUUGGGCUAAUACCGGAUGUGAGCAACUUUUAGUUGUUUGAAAGGUGGCGUAAGCUGUCGCUUGGAGAUGAGCCUGCGUCCUAUUAGUUAGUUGGUGAGGUAACGGCUCACCUAGGCAAUGAUAGGUAGGCGGCCUUAACGGGUGGUCGCCCACACUGGGAUUGAGAUACGGCCCAGACUCCUACGGGAGGCAGCAGUCGAGAAUAGUCUACAAUGGUCGGAAGACUGAUAGUGCGACGCCGCGUGAACGAUGAAUCCCUUCGGGGUUAAAGUUCUUUUAAUGUGAGCAGUGCUUCUUAUAUUAACAGUAUGGGGAAGAGAUAUUAGCAUAUGAAUAAGCAACGGCUAACUCCGUGCCCAGCAGCCGCGGUAAAACG